RNAcentral lists this small RNA (149 nucleotides) under Callithrix jacchus (white-tufted-ear marmoset). Its description in RNAcentral is "Metazoan signal recognition particle RNA (ENSCJAG00000075082.1)". The record is from Rfam by way of RNAcentral. Lineage: Eukaryota; Metazoa; Chordata; Mammalia; Primates; Cebidae.
GCUGGGCACGGUGGCGCGUGCCUGUAAUCCCAGCUACUCAGGAGGCUGAGGCAGGAGAAUUGCCUGAACCCAGGGUGCAGAGGUUGCAGUGAGCCGAGAUUGCGCCAUUGCACUUCAGCCUGGGUAACAAGAGCGAAACUCUGUCUCAA